This 23-nucleotide non-coding RNA is filed under the name Arabidopsis thaliana (thale cress). The record is from RNAcentral. Lineage: Eukaryota; Viridiplantae; Streptophyta; Magnoliopsida; Brassicales; Brassicaceae.
AUACUCGAUCAUAGAACACAUAA